ACGUUAACGAACGAGACCUUAACCUGCUAAAUAGUUAGGCCAACGUUUGUUGGUCGUCAACUUCUUAGAGGGACUAUUGACUAUUAGUCAAUGGAAGUUUGAGGCAAUAACAGGUCUGUGAUGCCCUUAGAUGUUCUGGGCUACACGCGCGCUACACUGACACGUUCAUCGAGUUUACAACCUUGGCCGGAAGGUCUGGGUAAUCUUUGAAAGCGUGUCGUGAUGGGGAUAGAUGAUUGUAAUUUUUCAUCUUCAACGAGGAAUUCCUAGUAAUCGCAUGUCAUUAGCGUGCAAUGAUUACGUCCCUGCCCUUUGUACACACCGCCCGUCGCUAGUACCGAUUGAAUGGCUCG
RNAcentral lists this ribosomal RNA (353 nucleotides) under Eukaryota sp. RNAcentral's name for it is "SSU rRNA". It matches the Rfam family "Eukaryotic small subunit ribosomal RNA", at positions 1325 to 1700 of the family's 1831-position model. The record is from RNAcentral.